ACCUCCUCACGUGGCGCUUUAUCACCUCACAUCCUCCCAGGAGGAAGCACACGACAGAGAGAGGGCACAGUCACAUAACCUGUGUUUCAGUCCUGUCGCAAUCACUCUGUUUUACCAGAUCCAGGAACUAAAGCCACAUCAGAUGUUUAAGGAGCUAGAGAAACAUCUAAGUCCAUGCACCAAAUGAGACAGGUAAGACACUUGGCACCAGGUAUGAAUAUUUGAAAAAUUAUCUCUACGAAACAGAAACCGUAUUAAUGAAUAAUCUCGGGGAUGAAGAGAAGACCAGUGGCUGAUAAUGAAGGCUUCGGGGAUUCCAACAGUUACUGGAUAGUAAGCUAAGAACCCUGCAUAUUAAAUAGAGGAACAUUUAUUUAAAUAGAAUAGAAGCCCUGUCUCCUCAGUAACUACAGGAGACGCCUGCCAACCUAGGCACUAAACGUUUGCCGGGUUGGACGGAGCGCGCGGCCGGAGGGAGAGGCACCUGGGAUGCGGGAAGAGAAUUCGUGGACGGCAUACGUGUUGGGGCAGGGGCUGCAGCGCGCAGGUGGUACUGGAAUCCACAGGAACAGUCACAACUCGUGCGAAGAGUGUGGAGGAUGAGGAGAGGUCAAGGGCAGAGUCCUGGGCACGCUGGCGGCCGAGAGCGUG
Molecule: long non-coding RNA, 651 nt
Organism: Neofelis nebulosa (Clouded leopard)
Lineage: Eukaryota; Metazoa; Chordata; Mammalia; Carnivora; Felidae
Exons: 2
Source: RefSeq, a predicted model, not a curated record